GGGCGUUCCCCUUCGGGGGACAGGGUGACAGGUGGUGCAUGGUUGUCGUCAGCUCGUGUCGUGAGAUGUUGGGUUUAAGUCCCGCAACGAGCGCAACCCUCGACCUUAGUUGCCAGCAUUCAGUUGGGCACUCUAAGGUGACUGCCGGCUAAAAGUCGGAGGAAGGUGGGGAUGACGUCAAAUCAUCAUGCCCCUUAUGACCUGGGCUACACACGUGCUACAAUGGGCGGUACAAAGGGUCGCGAACCCGCGAGGGGGAGCCAAUCCCAAAAAGCCGCUCUCAGUUCGGAUUGCAGGCUGCAACUCGCCUGCAUGAAGCCGGAAUCGCUAGUAAUCGCGGAUCAGCAUGCCGCGGUGAAUACGUUCCCGGGCCUU
RNAcentral lists this ribosomal RNA (375 nucleotides) under uncultured Anoxybacillus sp. RNAcentral describes it as "bacterial SSU rRNA". It matches the Rfam family "Bacterial small subunit ribosomal RNA", at positions 1008 to 1382 of the family's 1533-position model. The record is from RNAcentral. Lineage: Bacteria; Bacillati; Bacillota; Bacilli; Caryophanales; Anoxybacillaceae.